Molecule: non-coding RNA, 767 nt
Organism: Oryctolagus cuniculus (rabbit)
Lineage: Eukaryota; Metazoa; Chordata; Mammalia; Lagomorpha; Leporidae
Source: RefSeq, a predicted model, not a curated record
CCUUGCUAUUGGCUUACUGCUCUCCCCUUAGCCUGAGGUACUCCCGGAACAGUCCAGACACACUCCCCACGCAGGCCUUUACUCUGCCUGAGGUACUCCCGGAACAGUCCAGACACACCCCCCACGCAGGCCUUUACUCUGCCUGAGGUACUCCCGGAACAGUCCAGACACACUCCCCACGCAGGCCUUUACUCUGCCUGAGGUACUCCCGGAACAGUCCAGACACACUCCCCACGCAGGCCUUUGCUCUGCCUGAGGUACUCCCGGAACAGUCCAGACACACUCCCCACGCAGGCCUUUACUCUGCCUGAGGUACUCCCGGAACAGUCCAGACACACUCCCCACACGGGCCUUUACUCUGCCUGAGGUACUCCCGGAACAGUCCAGACACACCCCCCACGCAGGCCUUUACUCUGAGGUACUCCCGGAACAGUCCAGACACACUCCCCACGCAGGCCUUUACUCUGCCUGAGGUACUCCCGGAACAGUCCAGACACACUCCCCACACGGGCCUUUACUCUGCCUGAGGUACUCCCGGAACAGUCCAGACACACCCCCCACGCAGGCCUUUACUCUGCCUGAGGUACUCCCGGAACAGUCCAGACACACUCCCCACGCAGGCCUUUACUCUGCCUGAGGUACUCCCGGAACAGUCCAGACACACUCCCCACGCAGGCCUUUGCUCUGCCUGAGGUACUCCCGGAACAGUCCAGACACACUCCCCACGCAGGCCUUUGCUCUGCCUGAGGUACUCCCGGAACAGUCCA